Long non-coding RNA from Corythoichthys intestinalis (scribbled pipefish), 1748 nucleotides. RefSeq lists it as uncharacterized. The record is from RefSeq and is a predicted model, not a curated record. NCBI's taxonomy places the organism in Eukaryota, Metazoa, Chordata, Actinopteri, Syngnathiformes, Syngnathidae. The transcript is spliced from 3 exons.
CUCAAAAAGUCACAUAAAAAAAAAUAAAUAAAUAAUUGACCGCGUAGUUUUUGAGUUAUGGCCAUAGCAACACCAUAGCAACGAGGGACGCGCCGUCCUGCUGACCCCUACCUCAUGACAUAACUUCCAGGAAGCCUCGCCACCACUCUGAACGCGGAAAUAUAGCACCACGCUAUCCUCGCCAUAUAUUGCAUACAUUUUCUGGGUUUUACUCGCGGGAUUCGUCAUGCCAUCUCGAUGUGUAGCGAUGAAUUACUCACAGGAAGAUUCGAGACUCUAGGAGUGGUCCCAAAAAAACUUCUCCUGCAAAGCCACGACAGCUUUGAAAACCUACAACAAUGCAACCUUGGUUUUGCAAAGACGAAGCCAAACAUAAAAAAUUAAGUGGCGGAAACCCUCAACACGAUGAAAAAAGCGUUGCAAGUCAGUUGCCACCCAGUUUCCCAAAAUCAAGAGAGAGUGGGUCGAGUGAUAUGAUGACCGAAGUGAUGCGGUAUCCAGCGAUGACGACUGAAGAGAUCCUAUGAGGCCUGCCAGAUGCUGAAUUUCUUCCGUCUGCGACAUCAGAUGACGAUGAUUUAGGAGAAAUAAAUGUAGCAAAUUUUGAUGACAUGAAAUCAUAAACUAGUCAUAUAUACAGUACACAUUUUUUAAAAGAAAAAUCAAGUUAACUUCAUAUUUUAAUGAUAAUGCAUUAUCUUUGUAUAGAGAACACUUCAUGCUACAGAAAAGAGUAAAUACAUAUACAUAAAUCUGGUAUCAUUUAUUAUUGUGGCCUAUUAAAUAUUUUUUCAGAAUGUAAUAUAAUUACAAUAUAUUAUAUACCAAUAGAAUACAUUAAACAGUCAACAAAAUGUGUCAAUGUUGUUAACAAUUUAUGGUUUUAUUUUUUUAAUGUAAUUCAUGCCCCUGUCAGUGCUUCAGCCUCCUCAAGUUUGGCUCUCACGUCUGGGAUCUCCUGAUGACACAGGCAUACUCUUGGAAGGGUACAGCAACACCUGGAAAAUAAAAUGGUUUUGUCAUUUAUUUUGAAAUAUCAAUAACAUAUUCAUUUAGCCACAUUUGGGCUAGCUUUAUCAUAUUUGGAUCGGUAGGAUCUGUCCCAUUACCUAAUAUCCAGUUUUAGCUAUGUGUAGAGCAUUCAUUUAGCCACAUUUGGGCUAGCUUUAUCAUAUUUAGAUCGGUAGGAGCUGUCCCAUUACCUAAUAUCCAGUUUUAGCUAUGUGUAGAGCAUUCAUUUAGCCACAUUUGGGCUAGCUUUAUCAUAUUUAGAUCGGUAGGAGCUGUCCCAUUACCUAAUAUCCAGUUUUAGCUAUGUGUAGAGCAUGGAAAAAAUAUACAACCAUGUAAUCGCAUUCUGAUAAAAAAAUCACGAUGCUGGACUUACCACUCACUCUCCUGUUCGUGAAGUGUCGAGCUUUCAAUUGGCGUCAUGACGCCAUCUGCUGUGUCAAGUAAAUCGCUGUCAUCUGACGCCUCAGGAAAGAGUGAUCCUGAAUGGUUACCUUUGGUGGAAAUAUCACUGACAUCGUUGUUGCUGCUGUACUAGCUGUGGGUAGUCUUCUGUUGCCUACGUCACACUUCCGGGUUUGCGAAGGGACCAUUAACGGAGUGCAAAAAAACUAAAAAAACGCAAAUUAUCCUUACAAUUACGUGUUGAUAAUGUCAUGGUUGUUUUGAUGAACUUGUCCCAAGUUUAUAUUCAUAAAAUUACACCAAAAUCCGGAAAGGUCUUCAGUUGCCCUUUA